RNAcentral lists this ribosomal RNA (231 nucleotides) under uncultured bacterium. RNAcentral's name for it is "partial 16S ribosomal RNA". It matches the Rfam family "Bacterial small subunit ribosomal RNA", at positions 540 to 769 of the family's 1533-position model. The record is from RNAcentral.
GUUGUUCGGAGUUACUGGGCGUAAAGCGCUAUGUAGGCGGGCAUUUAAGUCAGGGGUGAAAUCCCGGGGCUCAACCUCGGAACUGCCUUUGAUACUGGGUGUCUAGAGUGUGGAAGAGGUAAGUGGAAUCCCGAGUGUAGAGGUGAAAUUCGUAGAUAUUCGGAGGAACACCAGUGGCGAAGGCGGCUUACUGGUCCAUUACUGACGCUGAGGUGCGAAAGCGUGGGGAGC